GCCUGCGGGGACCCUGAGGCUCCACGUCCUGUGUGCCGUGUGUGAGUGUGCGGGCGGGUGGCUGCUCCUGUGUGGGCAUGAACGGACGCACGUGCCAGUGGGGUUGGAGGGACACGUGUGACCGUGCAGGGGUGUGGCAGUGUGCCCUCUUCUGUGUGCUCCAUUCCAGACCCCAGGAAAAUGCUUCCCGCCCACAGGCACGGCCAGGUCCAGGGCCAGGCCUGGCUCCAGGGGGACAGGCUGCCCAGCUGGGUGGCUUCGUCCAAAGAAGCAAACGAAAGGCAGGCUGGCGAGGAUUCUCGGGUGGUGGUCAGACAUGGUGGAGCCCCGGGGCCGGGGCAGCCUCGGGGUGCUGAGUGCACCUUCCACCUUCUGCCCAGCAAGGUCGGCUUCGCCCCCGCACCAGUCUGGCCCUCGAGCUGGGCUGGCGGGCUCCCUGCUCUGAGGUCGGCAGGCCCACCCAUCUGGGCAGCAUGUGCUUGCAGGAGCAGAUGCACCGGUCAUGGGGACAGGGAGGAGGACGGAUGUGCCCUCACCCCACACUGAGGUCUGAGGGACACCAGAGGGCAAGACCAGGUCCAUCACCACAGUCCCCCAGCUCUGAGCCUGCUGAGAGGGUACUGGGAGCCUCCAGGUAUGUGUGGGAGCAGCUGCACGCCAGAGAGGGUGUUCUCUGUGUGGCCACCAUAGACGGUGUGGCCUCCUCCUCUCCACCCUGGGCAGCAUGAGCCAGAUGGCCGGGCAGUCUGAGGGUCACAGCUGGGCUGUGGCUGCACAGCGGGGCCUGGUCUGUUCUGGGCCCUGGGAGGCCCAGGGACUGGGGACUGCCUGAGCUCUGCUGCUUACGUGUAGAGGGCUGGGACACGGGUCAAGGCCAUUGGACUUCUCGUCAUCACGUCCCGGGUCACCACUAUCACUGAGGUUUUUAACGCUCAGCUCCUCAGAGGAAGGGGCAGGAGGUGCUGGAGAUACAGGGCUCUCUCGCCUGGCCUUGGGGGGCAGUGUCCCCCCUGCCUCCAGUGUCAGCUCUCCCGCAGAUAGCCGUGGCGGUGAGUGGCCUCUGCAGCCUCCCUGAGCACACCCGAGGGCCGGGGGACUGGAGACAGAACAGAGCCUCAAGCUGCCAUGGGUCCAAGGAGGCCCACUAAUGCCGUGCGCCCUGCAAGCUGCCACGGUGCCAGUGCUGUCUCUGCGCCCUCCACAUGACUAGCCACGUGCCUGCAGGAGUGGAACUCGGUGGCCGUGUGCCCUGACUCUGGCCUCCCCUGCUCUUCACAAGCACAUCCCAGGGAGCAGUGUGCAGGGCCUGAGCACCCGGUGGGACAUCGAGGAGCUGUCUUCCCCCAGAUCCCUGGCUCAGCUGAGACCCCAGAGUCCCGGCUCCUCUGGAGGGUCACAGGCCUGAGUUGUGCAGGAUGGCGCCCCCUGGAGGAGAGCAGAGCACAACCGGCCCAGCUCUACAGGGAAGCCUGAGCCUGCUGUCCGCCAGCGCCCGCAGCCCACUCCAGGCGCCUCCCCAACCACCCAAGACGCUAGGUGUGAUCAACAAGUUCCUGAGCAUUCACAAGCUUCACCUAAGCUGGCCAGCCACUGUCCUGGGGGUCUGGGGGCAGUGGUCUUCAUGCCGCCUGCUCCGUGAGGCCUGGGUCCUAUCUUCAGCACUCUGCCCCUGAGCCCUGAGAGUCCACUCGAAGUCCCCGGCUGCAAGCGGGCAGGAAAUGCAUGCACACCCCGGAGCUCCCGACUGGACAAGGCUGGACCUCCGUCUGCCCAGCCAGGAAGAGGACUGAACCCUGUCGCUCACAGGCUUCCAGGAUAGGGCCUGAGGGUGUCUGACCACCAGGACACACCCAGGGGACCUAGGAAGCUCCUCUGACCCUGGGUACUGUCUCCCCCGCCCCCGGCCUUGCCUGUUCUCUCCUCAGCCUCCCCGUUGUCUUUCCAACCCAGUGACUCAGAGCAACCCGAGUGGCUGUGGGUGACUUGAGAAGCCAGAUUUUAACAUCUAUUAAAAUUUCAAUAGAUGUCA
This is a long non-coding RNA of Marmota monax (woodchuck), 2029 nucleotides long. RefSeq lists it as uncharacterized. The record is from RefSeq and is a predicted model, not a curated record. The transcript has 3 exons. NCBI's taxonomy places the organism in Eukaryota, Metazoa, Chordata, Mammalia, Rodentia, Sciuridae.